GACGAACGCUGGCGGCGUGCUUAACACAUGCAAGUCGAACGGAAAGGCCCAGCUUGCUGGGUGCUCGAGUGGCGAACGGGUGAGUAACACGUGGGUGAUCUGCCCCUAACUUCGGGAUAAGCUUGGGAAACUGGGUCUAAUACCGGAUAGGACAAUCGUUUAGUGUCGGUUGUGGAAAGUUUUUUCGGUUAGGGAUGAGCCCGCGGCCUAUCAGCUUGUUGGUGGGGUAAUGGCCUACCAAGGCGUCGACGGGUAGCCGGCCUGAGAGGGUGGACGGCCACAUUGGGACUGAGAUACGGCCCAGACUCCUACGGGAGGCAGCAGUGGGGAAUAUUGCACAAUGGGCGCAAGCCUGAUGCAGCGACGCCGCGUGGGGGAUGACGGCCUUCGGGUUGUAAACCUCUUUCGACAGGGACGAAGCUUUAGUGACGGUACCUGUAUAAGAAGCACCGGCUAACUACGUG
RNAcentral lists this ribosomal RNA (464 nucleotides) under uncultured bacterium. RNAcentral's name for it is "partial 16S ribosomal RNA". It matches the Rfam family "Bacterial small subunit ribosomal RNA", at positions 28 to 507 of the family's 1533-position model. The record is from RNAcentral.